This is a non-coding RNA of Oryctolagus cuniculus (rabbit), 477 nucleotides long. NCBI's taxonomy places the organism in Eukaryota, Metazoa, Chordata, Mammalia, Lagomorpha, Leporidae. The record is from RefSeq and is a predicted model, not a curated record.
CAGAGGCAUAAAAUCCCCACUUACAAAGAGUUGACAUCCUUCUAGCUCCAUAAUUCUCUCUGGGAAUUCAGACCCCUAGUCACUGGUGAUAUAUGAAAAGGGAGGAAAAGAUACAAGGCAAAAGGUUUUCUGGAACUCCUUUCCAAGCAAAUAGGCCACAAUCAAGGUGAAGCACUAAAGUGAAAAUAUAGACUGUGCUGUCACACAGAAAGAGUACUGGAAUCAAUCCCUAGGUGACCUGAUGAUUUUCAUGCAUAAGGCAAUUGAUGGAAAUUUUUCAUCUCUUCUUAUAUGGAACUUGAACUUGUAGUGGCUCCUUUGUUGAACGUGGAGUAGAAGAAAGAUCACAGGUUUUGAAAUCAGACAGGGAAUUAAUUUUGGAGAAAAACUCAAGAUGGUGCGUUUUUGUGAGCACUUGAACAUUACUGUAGUUUAUGAUGCAUGUAUGAUGACCUCCACUUCAUACACUAAAGCAAG